ACGGCUCAGUAACACGUGGAUAAUCUGCCCUAAAGGUCAGGCAUAACACCGGGAAACUGGUGAUAAUUCCUGAUAUACCAUAGAUACUGGAAUGUUCUGUGGUCAAAAGCUCCGGCGCCUUAGGAUGAAUCUGCGGCCUAUCAGGUUGCAGUGGGUGUAACGUACCUACUAGCCGACGACGGGUACGGGUUGUGAGAGCAAGAGCCCGGAGAUGGAUUCUGAGACAUGAAUCCAGGCCCUACGGGGCGCAGCAGGCGCGAAAACUUUACAAUGCGGGGAACCGCGAUAAGGGGACACUGAGUGCCAGCAUACAAUGUUGGCUGUCCGCAUGUAUAAAUAGCAUGUGUUAGCAAGGGCCGGGCAAGACCGGUGCCAGCCGCCGCGGUAACACCGGCGGCCCGAGUGGUGGCCACUAUUAUUGGGUCUAAAGGGUCCGUAGCCGGUUUGAUCAGUCUUCCGGGAAAUCUGACAGCUCAACUGUUAGGCUUCCGGGGGAUACUGUCAGACUUGGGACCGGGAGAGGUAAGAGGUACUACAGGGGUAGGAGUGAAAUCUUGUAAUCCUUGUGGGACCACCAGUGGCGAAGGCGUCUUACCAGAACGGGUCCGACGGUGAGGGACGAAAGCUGGGGGCACGAACCGGAUUAGAUACCCGGGUAGUCCCAGCCGUAAACGAUGCUCGCUAGGUGUCUGGGAUGGUGCGACCGUUUCAGGUGCCGCAGGGAAGCCGUGAAGCGAGCCACCUGGGAAGUACGGCCGCAAGGCUGAAACUUAAAGGAAUUGGCGGGGGAG
RNAcentral lists this ribosomal RNA (791 nucleotides) under uncultured Methanolobus sp. RNAcentral describes it as "bacterial SSU rRNA". It matches the Rfam family "Archaeal small subunit ribosomal RNA", at positions 85 to 876 of the family's 1478-position model. The record is from RNAcentral. Lineage: Archaea; Methanobacteriati; Methanobacteriota; Methanomicrobia; Methanosarcinales; Methanosarcinaceae.